AGAAUCACUUGAACCCAGGAGGCAGAGGCUGCAGUGACCCAAGAUGGCACCCUUGCACUAUAGCCUGGGCGACAGAGCAAGACUGUCUCAAAACAAAACAAAACAAAAA
Molecule: long non-coding RNA, 109 nt
Organism: Sapajus apella (tufted capuchin)
Lineage: Eukaryota; Metazoa; Chordata; Mammalia; Primates; Cebidae
Exons: 3
Source: RefSeq, a predicted model, not a curated record